RNAcentral lists this ribosomal RNA (483 nucleotides) under uncultured bacterium. RNAcentral describes it as "partial 16S ribosomal RNA". It matches the Rfam family "Bacterial small subunit ribosomal RNA", at positions 30 to 507 of the family's 1533-position model. The record is from RNAcentral.
AUUGAACGCUGGCGGCAGGCCUAACACAUGCAAGUCGAGCGGAUGAAGGGAGCUUGCUCCUGGAUUCAGCGGCGGACGGGUGAGUAAUGCCUAGGAAUCUGCCUGGUAGUGGGGGAUAACGUCCGGAAACGGGCGCUAAUACCGCAUACGUCCUGAGGGAGAAAGUGGGGGAUCUUCGGACCUCACGCUAUCAGAUGAGCCUAGGUCGGAUUAGCUAGUUGGUGGGGUAAAGGCCUACCAGGCGACCAUCCGUAACUGGUCUGAGAGGAUGAUCAGUCACACUAGAACUGAGACACGGUCCAGACGCCUAAGGGAGGCAGCAGUGGGGAAUAUUGGACAAUGGGCGAAAGCAUGAUCCAGCCAUGCCGCGUGUGUGAAGAAGGUCUUCGGAUUGUAAAGAACUUUAAGUUGGGAGAAAGGGCAGUAAGUUAAUACCUUGCUGUUUUGACGUUACCAGCAGAAUAAGCACCGGCUAACUUCGUG